RNAcentral lists this ribosomal RNA (240 nucleotides) under uncultured bacterium. Its description in RNAcentral is "partial 16S ribosomal RNA". It matches the Rfam family "Bacterial small subunit ribosomal RNA", at positions 96 to 334 of the family's 1533-position model. The record is from RNAcentral.
UGGCGAACGGGUGAGUAACGCGUGAGGAACCUGCCUCAAAGAGGGGGACAACGGUUGGAAACGACUGCUAAUACCGCAUAAGCCCACGGGUCGGCAUCGACCUGAGGGAAAAGGAGCAAUCCGCUUUGAGAUGGCCUCGCGUCCGAUUAGCUAGUUGGUGAGGUAACGGCCCACCAAGGCGACGAUCGGUAGCCGGACUGAGAGGUUGAACGGCCACAUUGGGACUGAGACACGGCCCAG